AGACAGAGAACGCUGCUCUCUUUAGAUUACAAUCGCCCAUUAGCUCCUUGGCAAGGAUGGUGGUUCUUUCUUCUAUAGGCCAGAGCUACUGAAGGGCCUGGCAAGGCAGGCGGCUCCCACUCAGUGCUCUCCCCAUGGCACUGCUGCUGCCCUGAGUUGAAGAAGCCAUCGUAUCCCGAGACCUCAGUGUGAAUGGCUGCCACUUUGCACCUGCCACUGACCGAAGGGGACAAACAGCCUCCCAGAAUCACAGCCAACCACAGACUCCAGCAGACCAGACAACAGGCAACCUUCCUGCUGUGACAAGAGGAUAAAUGCACACGGGGUUCACUCAGCACUGACUGGAGGAAUUUGAUGAAGACCUCCCAAUUAAAGCAGAGCGCUCCAAGGUCUCUCUCUGCAUAGCGUCUGACUGUGAGUCUCUGGCUGCAUUCCCGUCUGCUGCAGGACGAAGCAUCUGUGAUGCUGGCUGAGCAAGGCGCCAAUCUGUGAGUGCGGACUCAGACUUUAUGAAAAUCAUCUCUCCAAGGGAAAUCCCAACACAUGAGCCACAAGGUCAAGAAGCCUUGACGUUGCCCUGCAAAGUGAUGCUAGGUUAAUAAACCACCAAUUUAAAAUG
Long non-coding RNA from Rattus norvegicus (Norway rat), 619 nucleotides. RefSeq lists it as uncharacterized. Lineage: Eukaryota; Metazoa; Chordata; Mammalia; Rodentia; Muridae. The record is from RefSeq and is a predicted model, not a curated record.